This 1449-nucleotide long non-coding RNA is filed under the name Olea europaea subsp. europaea. The record is from RNAcentral. Lineage: Eukaryota; Viridiplantae; Streptophyta; Magnoliopsida; Lamiales; Oleaceae.
AAUCAAAAUUUUAUAGGUUGAAAUUUAUUUAUCGAUCAGAAAUUGUCAAAUUAAUAGGUCAUGUAUUAUUUCGCAGUCACAAAUUACAAAUUUUGUAAGCACAAUUUGUUUAUCGAUAACAGAUUAUCAAAUUAAUAUGUCAUGUAAUAUUUCUCAAUCACAAAUCACAAAAUUUAUAAUUCACAACCUAUUUCACGAUCAUAAAUUAUCUAAUUAGUUGGUUACAGGUUGUUUCGCGGUCACAAAUUAACAAAUUAAUUGGUUACAACUUAUUUAUCAAUGACAAAUUAUCAUAUUAAUUGAUCACAAUUUUUUUCUCGAUCACAAAUAAACAAAUUAAUGGGUCACGAUUUAUUAAUCGAUCAUAUAUUAUUAUUAAUUGGUCACAAUUACCCAGUUAACUAGUCAUAAAUUUUUACACAAGUCUCACCCAUCUAGGGAUGUCAAUGAGUUAAGCCAAAACCCGAGGCUCCUUGACCCGAGCAAAAUGGUGCGAACUUUUUUACAGGCCUGAGUCGAGCCAAGCUUUGCUCGGCCAAAAAAAUUAUGUUCGACCCAAGCUUUUGGUACAAGCCUUUUUGAGCCAAGCCGAGUCGAACAGGCUCUUUCUUUUCUUCCGUAAUAACUACUGCCUUUUCCUUUCUAUUUUAAAGGGCUUUGAUCUCGAGCCGACGAGCCACAUGGGCUAGCUCAAAACCAAGCCUCGAGUCUGACUGACUUGAGCUUUUUUCGAACCUAGCCACGGGUGGUCCAAACUGACAUGCUAAAUUGACAUCCCUACACCUACCCUACCUCGUUGUUGGUACCACCGAUGGCACCAUCUCAUCACUACCAACACAAUCGCCAAUCAACAACCACUACACCACAACCUCAACCACCUUCACCUCCGCUUUUACCUCUACUACAACUCCAACCACACCCGCACCAUCAUCACACAACUAGUGAUGCACCACAAUCAUCCCAACACCACCAACGCCUGUAUCACCCACUGCACUAGAACUAGCAACACCAUCGCACACAACAGCACAUAGAUCACAGUAAACCACAAACCACAGUACGCACAAAUCAGCACAACACCGCCACAAAUUUUAUAGCCUUUUUUUUGUCACAAACAGAUCACCACUGCGCAGCUAUGUGCCACUCAUAGCGUCAUCACCACCACAAGUCUUCCUCCCACCACCAGAUGUAUCUAUGCCAGAGCCACUACUUUUUCCUAUAUUCACACCAUCCCAAUAUUUACAUGAACCACCGCCGUGCGAAGUUGCACACAGCAGUGAUAAGCAUGUGACAUUGCACGUAGCGCCAUUGUCGUUGUGCAGUGCAGCUGUGGGUAUGGGUAUAGUGGCUCCGCGCGAUGCUAUUGGUGGAUUAUUGGGGUUGCUAUGCUUAGUAGGGUGGAUAUGGUAGAAGUGUGGGUAUGAUGAAUUUAUUAGAUUAUUAGGGUUCGGG